RNAcentral lists this unclassified non-coding RNA (292 nucleotides) under Hevea brasiliensis (rubber tree). The record is from RNAcentral. Lineage: Eukaryota; Viridiplantae; Streptophyta; Magnoliopsida; Malpighiales; Euphorbiaceae.
UAGGAACUUCAUUGUAAUUUACCUUUUUAUGAUUGGUGUUAAAAUAAUUCCUUAUAUUUUUUGCUUGAUAUAAGUGGAGUCGUAGUUACCACAUUUACCUACCGCAUUGGGUUUUGUGAUCUAGGUUGCGCAUUCUAAUUCGCAGAACGUUACAUCUCAAAUCUCUUGGGUGCACCUUUUGACCCUUUUGAUUUCUGUGUAUUCAUAUGUCUUUUGGGCAAGCUAACUUUAUAAACCAGCAUUUUCUCAUCUGUCAUAAUUUUUUUUUUAUGAGUUCUUGCAUAAUAACAAG